UCCCUAAAUCUCUCCCACGUCUAAACCAAAUAUUCUCCUCUCUAUAAUAUACGUUUCACCAACCAGUUUUUUUCAAUUCACUGCAACGAGAGGUUGCUGAUUUUGAGAAGUCCGAUAUCAGUGUUGUGAUGGUUGCCUGCGUGACGUGAUGAGAUGAAGGAGGCAGCGGCGUCGGGCGACGGAGGAGCUACCGACCAGCAACUCAUAACUGCUCGAGCAACAGCUAACCGCGAGACGGCGGCGCGGAGUGCAGUGCUGACAGUGGCGGCUGUUCGCGAUGGAGACAACAGUGGCAGCGGCAGAUUCGGAAACGGCUACAGCUGCUGCUCGAACGGGUCGAUUGGUGCAGCCGACGGCGAGCAAUACCGACGAGCGAGGCAGGGACGGAGCAGCGGCGUCUGACAGUGGAAAACCUGUUUACGAACAGCGGCGGUGUGAAGGAGAAGCAGCGACGGAGAGACAGAGACUUUGAAUUGGAGUUUUGAGAGAGAGAGAGAACAUGUAAUGAGCUUUGGUAGAAAGAAGUGAGGGAGACAGAGACGUGGUUUUGGGCUGCCCCAUUUUAAGUUUUGGGCCAAGGAAUAAUAUAAAGGAUGAGAGCAAUGUUAUAAAGUCGCAUAGAAUUCGGAUCGAACGGGUUAUCUCUGCGAGCAAAGUAAGAUCGAAGAGGAGAACUCAAAUUCAGAAAAUUAAAUGAUCGAGGUUGAGCGGUGACGAGCGCG
Molecule: long non-coding RNA, 722 nt
Organism: Salvia splendens (bonfire salvia)
Lineage: Eukaryota; Viridiplantae; Streptophyta; Magnoliopsida; Lamiales; Lamiaceae
Exons: 3
Source: RefSeq, a predicted model, not a curated record